This 1575-nucleotide ribosomal RNA is filed under the name Escherichia coli. RNAcentral's name for it is "partial 23S ribosomal RNA". It matches the Rfam family "Bacterial large subunit ribosomal RNA", at positions 1241 to 2798 of the family's 2925-position model. Lineage: Bacteria; Pseudomonadati; Pseudomonadota; Gammaproteobacteria; Enterobacterales; Enterobacteriaceae. The record is from RNAcentral.
CUGUAAGCCUGUGAAGGUGUGCUGUGAGGCAUGCUGGAGGUAUCAGAAGUGCGAAUGCUGACAUAAGUAACGAUAAAGCGGGUGAAAAGCCCGCUCGCCGGAAGACCAAGGGUUCCUGUCCAACGUUAAUCGGGGCAGGGUGAGUCGACCCCUAAGGCGAGGCCGAAAGGCGUAGUCGAUGGGAAACAGGUUAAUAUUCCUGUACUUGGUGUUACUGCGAAGGGGGGACGGAGAAGGCUAUGUUGGCCGGGCGACGGUUGUCCCGGUUUAAGCGUGUAGGCUGGUUUUCCAGGCAAAUCCGGAAAAUCAAGGCUGAGGCGUGAUGACGAGGCACUACGGUGCUGAAGCAACAAAUGCCCUGCUUCCAGGAAAAGCCUCUAAGCAUCAGGUAACAUCAAAUCGUACCCCAAACCGACACAGGUGGUCAGGUAGAGAAUACCAAGGCGCUUGAGAGAACUCGGGUGAAGGAACUAGGCAAAAUGGUGCCGUAACUUCGGGAGAAGGCACGCUGAUAUGUAGGUGAAGUCCCUCGCGGAUGGAGCUGAAAUCAGUCGAAGAUACCAGCUGGCUGCAACUGUUUAUUAAAAACACAGCACUGUGCAAACACGAAAGUGGACGUAUACGGUGUGACGCCUGCCCGGUGCCGGAAGGUUAAUUGAUGGGGUUAGCCGCAAGGCGAAGCUCUUGAUCGAAGCCCCGGUAAACGGCGGCCGUAACUAUAACGGUCCUAAGGUAGCGAAAUUCCUUGUCGGGUAAGUUCCGACCUGCACGAAUGGCGUAAUGAUGGCCAGGCUGUCUCCACCCGAGACUCAGUGAAAUUGAACUCGCUGUGAAGAUGCAGUGUACCCGCGGCAAGACGGAAAGACCCCGUGAACCUUUACUAUAGCUUGACACUGAACAUUGAGCCUUGAUGUGUAGGAUAGGUGGGAGGCUUGGAAGUGUGGACGCCAGUCUGCAUGGAGCCGACCUUGAAAUACCACCCUUUAAUGUUUGAUGUUCUAACGUUGACCCGUAAUCCGGGUUGCGGACAGUGUCUGGUGGGUAGUUUGACUGGGGCGGUCUCCUCCUAAAGAGUAACGGAGGAGCACGAAGGUUGGCUAAUCCUGGUCGGACAUCAGGAGGUUAGUGCAAUGGCAUAAGCCAGCUUGACUGCGAGCGUGACGGCGCGAGCAGGUGCGAAAGCAGGUCAUAGUGAUCCGGUGGUUCUGAAUGGAAGGGCCAUCGCUCAACGGAUAAAAGGUACUCCGGGGAUAACAGGCUGAUACCGCCCAAGAGUUCAUAUCGACGGCGGUGUUUGGCACCUCGAUGUCGGCUCAUCACAUCCUGGGGCUGAAGUAGGUCCCAAGGGUAUGGCUGUUCGCCAUUUAAAGUGGUACGCGAGCUGGGUUUAGAACGUCGUGAGACAGUUCGGUCCCUAUCUGCCGUGGGCGCUGGAGAACUGAGGGGGGCUGCUCCUAGUACGAGAGGACCGGAGUGGACGCAUCACUGGUGUUCGGGUUGUCAUGCCAAUGGCACUGCCCGGUAGCUAAAUGCGGAAGAGAUAAGUGCUGAAAGCAUCUAAGCACGAAACUUGCC